CGAUCAACUUCGGGGAGUCAAAGAUUGACUGAGAGGAUUAAAUUCAAAAUCGACCCGUAAACCUGAUCUGGGUUAUGCCAGCGGAGGGAAAGUUAUAUAUUUUUAA
This 106-nucleotide non-coding RNA is filed under the name Acholeplasma oculi. RNAcentral's name for it is "TPP sequence". It matches the Rfam family "TPP riboswitch aptamer (THI element)". From Rfam's summary of the family: Vitamin B(1) in its active form thiamin pyrophosphate (TPP) is an essential coenzyme that is synthesised by coupling of pyrimidine and thiazole moieties in bacteria. Lineage: Bacteria; Bacillati; Mycoplasmatota; Mollicutes; Acholeplasmatales; Acholeplasmataceae. The record is from Rfam by way of RNAcentral.